AUACAGCUGACGAGUCUCAAACAGGACGAAACUCACGUCAAACUGGAU
Schistosoma mansoni is the source of this 48-nucleotide non-coding RNA. The record is from Rfam. Lineage: Eukaryota; Metazoa; Platyhelminthes; Trematoda; Strigeidida; Schistosomatidae.